GCCGGGCACAGUGGCACAUGCCUGUAAUCCCAGUGGCUUGGGAGGCCGAGGCAGAAGGAUCACAAGUUCAAAGCCAGCCUCAGCAAAAACGAGGUGCCAAGCAACUUAGUGAGACCCUGUCUCUA
RNAcentral lists this small RNA (125 nucleotides) under Marmota monax (woodchuck). The record is from RNAcentral. Lineage: Eukaryota; Metazoa; Chordata; Mammalia; Rodentia; Sciuridae.